Molecule: ribosomal RNA, 406 nt
Filed under: uncultured bacterium
Lineage: Bacteria
Description: partial 16S ribosomal RNA
Rfam family: Bacterial small subunit ribosomal RNA
Source: RNAcentral
GAUGAACGCUAGCUACAGGCUUAACACAUGCAAGUCGAGGGACCGGCGCACGGGUGAGUAACACGUAUCCAACCUUCCCUUUACUCGGGGAUAGCCUUUCGAAAGAAAGAUUAAUAAUAGAUAUAAAGGAUGGGGAUGCGUUCCAUUAGGUGGUUGGUGAGGUAACGGCGCACAAAGCCUUCGAUGGAUAGGGGUUCUGAGAGGAAGGGCCCCUACAUUUGAACUGAGACACGGUCCAAACUCCUACGGAAGGCAGCAGUGAGUAAGAGUGGUCAAUGGGCGUUAGCCUGAACCAGCCAAGUAGCGUGAAGGAUGAAGGCUUAUUGGUCGUAAACUACUUUUAUAUAAGAAUAGGUAUGAUAUGAAUAAGGAUCGGCUAACUACGUGCCAGCAGCCGCGGUAAUUC